This 429-nucleotide ribosomal RNA is filed under the name bacterium. Its description in RNAcentral is "partial 16S ribosomal RNA". It matches the Rfam family "Bacterial small subunit ribosomal RNA", at positions 355 to 776 of the family's 1533-position model. The record is from RNAcentral.
UAGGGAAUCUUCCACAAUGGACGCAAGUCUGAUGGAGCAACGCCGCGUGAGUGAAGAAGGUUUUCGGAUCGUAAAGCUCUGUUGUUGGUGAAGAAGGAUAGAGGCAGUAACUGGUCUUUAUUUGACGGUAAUCAACCAGAAAGUCACGGCUAACUACGUGCCAGCAGCCGCGGUAAUACGUAGGUGGCAAGCGUUGUCCGGAUUUAUUGGGCGUAAAGCGAGCGUAGGCGGAAUGAUAAGUCUGAUGUGAAAGCCCACGGCUCAACCGUGGAACUGCAUCGGAAACUGUCAUUCUUGAGUGCAGAAGAGGAGAGUGGAAUUCCAUGUGUAGCGGUGGAAUGCGUAGAUAUAUGGUAGAACACCAGUGGCGAAGGCGGCUCUCUGGUCUGCAACUGACGCUGAGGCUCGAAAGCAUGGGUAGCGAACAGG